RNAcentral lists this ribosomal RNA (416 nucleotides) under uncultured cyanobacterium. RNAcentral describes it as "bacterial SSU rRNA". It matches the Rfam family "Bacterial small subunit ribosomal RNA", at positions 505 to 918 of the family's 1533-position model. The record is from RNAcentral. Lineage: Bacteria; Bacillati; Cyanobacteriota.
GUGUCAGCAGCCGCGGUAAGACGGAGGAUGCAAGCGUUAUCCGGAAUGAUUGGGCGUAAAGCGUCCGCAGGUGGCAAUUCAAGUCUGCUGUUAAAGCGCAGGGCUUAACUCUGUAAAGGCAGUGGAAACUGAAUAGCUAGAGUGUGGUAGGGGCAGAGGGAAUUCCCAGUGUAGCGGUGAAAUGCGUAGAGAUUGGGAAGAACAUCGGUGGCGAAGGCGCUCUGCUGGACCAUAACUGACACUCACAGGACGAAAGCUAGGGGAGCGAAUGGGAUUAGAUACCCCAGUAGUCCUAGCCGUAAACGAUGGAUACUAGGUGUUGUCUGUAUCGACCCGGACAGUGCCGUAGCUAACGCGUUAAGUAUCCCGCCUGGGGAGUACGAACGCAAGUGUGAAACUCAAAGGAAUUGACGGGG